RNAcentral lists this ribosomal RNA (1506 nucleotides) under metagenome. Its description in RNAcentral is "bacterial SSU rRNA". It matches the Rfam family "Bacterial small subunit ribosomal RNA". The record is from RNAcentral.
AGAGUUUGAUCAUGGCUCAGAUUGAACGUUGGCGGCAGGCUUAACACAUGCAAGUCGAACGAGAAAGUACCUUCGGGUGCGAGUAAAGUGGCGGACGGGUGAGUAACGCGUAGGAAUCUACCCAAUAGCGGGGGACAACUCGGGGAAACUCGAGCUAAUACCGCAUACGCUCUCUUCGCAAGAAGGGAGGAAAGGGGCCCUCUCCUUGGAAGGUCUCACUAUUGGAGGAGCCUGCGUUGGAUUAGCUUGUUGGUGAGGUAAAGGCUCACCAAGGCUACGAUCCAUAGCUGGUCUGAGAGGACGAUCAGCCACACUGGAACUGAGACACGGUCCAGACUCCUACGGGAGGCAGCAGUGGGGAAUCUUGGGCAAUGGGCGCAAGCCUGACCCAGCCAUGCCGCGUGUGUGAAGAAGGCCUUCGGGUUGUAAAGCACUUUCAGUAGUGAAGAAAAGUUUCGGGUUAAUACCCCGGAACCUUGACGUUAGCUACAGAAGAAGCACCGGCUAACUCCGUGCCAGCAGCCGCGGUAAUACGGAGGGUGCGAACGUUAAUCGGAAUUACUGGGCGUAAAGCGCGCGUAGGCGGUUUGAUAAGCGGGAUGUAAAAGCCCUGGGCUCAACCUGGGAACUGCAUUCCAAACUGUCAGACUAGAGUUUGGUAGAGGGAGGUGGAAUUUCCUGUGUAGCGGUGAAAUGCGUAGAUAUAGGAAGGAACACCAGUGGCGAAGGCGGCCUCCUGGACCAAAACUGACGCUGAGGUGCGAAAGCGUGGGGAGCAAACAGGAUUAGAUACCCUGGUAGUCCACGCCGUAAACGAUGAGAACUAGCCGUUGGGGCCCUUGAGGCUUUGGUGGCGCAGCUAACGCGAUAAGUUCUCCGCCUGGGGAGUACGGCCGCAAGGUUAAAACUCAAAUGAAUUGACGGGGGCCCGCACAAGCGGUGGAGCAUGUUGUUUAAUUCGAUGCAACGCGAAGAACCUUACCACCCCUUGACAUACUCGGAACUUUCCAGAGAUGGAUUGGUGCCUUCGGGAACCGAGAUACAGGUGCUGCAUGGCUGUCGUCAGCCCGUGUCGUGAGAUGUUGGGUUAAGUCCCGUAACGAGCGCAACCCUUGUCCUUACUUGCCAGCGGGUCAUGCCGGGAACUUUAAGGAGACCGCCGGUGACAAACCGGAGGAAGGUGGGGACGACGUCAAGUCAUCAUGGCCCUUACGGGGUGGGCUACAAACGUGCUACAAUGGGAGGCACAAAGGGCUGCAAACCAGCGAUGGUGAGCGAAUCCCAAAAAACCUCUCGUAGUCCGGAUAGGAGUCUGCAACUCGACUCCUUGAAGUCGGAAUCGCUAGUAAUCGCGAAUCAGAAUGUCGGGGUGAAUACGUUCCCGGGCCUUGUACACACCGCCCGUCACGUCAUGGGAGUGGGUUGCACCAGAAGUAGCUAGUCUAACCUUCGGGAGGGCGGUUACCACGGUGUGGCUCAUGACUGGGACGAAGUCGUAACAAGGUA